UGAUUGGCUUAUUUAUUUUUCAUUUUUGUUAUCUAUCAUACAAUUGGUUCUUAAUGUAACUCGGAUUUAUUCUACGAAAAAGAGAAUUUCCGAAGUGUACUUUCUGUUUCGAUUUCACGUUAUAUUUAUACUGCUGUUAACUGACGGAGUUCCAGGAGACUUGGUGCAUUCAUUCUUAGUUAACAAAUCACAUUGUAAAGGUUUUGGGCACACUCUGUAAUGUCACACCAGAUGUAUUAGAUACUGGUUGUUCAACAUCUACUAUGUCAAAGUUCACAUAAAACCUCAAGGAGUUAGCACACAGAUGGUUGAGCAGAAUAACUGAACAAAACAACAAAAAAAGAUUUUAACAUUCUGUAAUACAUGAACUAUUGAAAUUUUUCAUAGGCACUGCACAUAAAUGUAUAUGAAAAAUUAUAAACUUUUGAUGUCUUUAAUUAUAGGAACUAUUUAUAAGUUGUCUAGUAUAUAAUAAUGACAUGAAAAAAAUACCUAUUUUAAAAAUAUUUUUGUAAUAUUUAAAUUAUCCAUGAAAAUUUUCUUGAAGCUUUUUUUAAAAUUCCAUUGGAUAAAAGAGAUGGUAGGUAGAAAUUCUGCUUAGAUAAUAUGAAAACUAACUAAACAAAUAGUAUACAUGUAUACUACUUUUGGAAUAUGAUACCUACAUCUUUAUCGAAGCAUAAUUGAGUAUAACAAUAAAGUCAAUACCAUCGAUUGUUUGUAAAUAUUUAUGCUUAUAUUUCAAUAAUGAGUAAAAAUCAUUAUCAUUAAUUGAAACAACUUGCUCAGAAAUGCUUACCAAUACUAGAACUAAGGUGUGAAGGACAUAUUAUCCAUUACAUUUUGUAAAUUAUCAGAAUAUAUGUGACAUUAGCAAAAGGACUAUUUUAGUUUUUGAUUAUAUAAGCUUAAUACUUAA
This is a long non-coding RNA of Mytilus californianus (California mussel), 919 nucleotides long. RefSeq lists it as uncharacterized. NCBI's taxonomy places the organism in Eukaryota, Metazoa, Mollusca, Bivalvia, Mytilida, Mytilidae. The record is from RefSeq and is a predicted model, not a curated record. The transcript is spliced from 3 exons.